GCCUCGCUCAAUGAUGACCAAGAAUCUAUAACGUACCCGCUUCUAAUUGUCUACGACGUUUCUACCUCGUUACUCGCUCUCCGAUCCAUAUUCCUGUUUUUCUCCUUUAAUUUCUCCAUUUCUCUGAUCUCCCAACUGAUCUAUUUCUCAUGAUCUGAUCAGCUUCAUUGCUUCUCUCCCAUUCUCACAGGGUCACGAUCAAUUAGCUCCUGCGAUAUAUUUUAAUGGCGUCGCAGGAUAAGGGUCGGCCUCUACCUAAGUUUGGGGAAUGGGAUGUGAACAAUCCGGCGUCGGCAGAAGGGUUUACGGUCAUAUUCAGCAAAGCCAGAGAUGAGAAGAAAUCUUAUAAUAACGGUACUAAGACUGGGAGUGCAGCAGCAGCAGCCAGUGCUACUCAUCCAAGCAGUAAUCAUGAUCAAACG
This is a long non-coding RNA of Carya illinoinensis, 422 nucleotides long. RefSeq lists it as uncharacterized. The transcript is spliced from 2 exons. NCBI's taxonomy places the organism in Eukaryota, Viridiplantae, Streptophyta, Magnoliopsida, Fagales, Juglandaceae. The record is from RefSeq and is a predicted model, not a curated record.